This 727-nucleotide long non-coding RNA is filed under the name Scleropages formosus (Asian bonytongue). Its description in RNAcentral is "lncRNA (ENSSFOG00015029834.1)". Lineage: Eukaryota; Metazoa; Chordata; Actinopteri; Osteoglossiformes; Osteoglossidae. The record is from RNAcentral.
AGAACGGACUCGACGCCCCUCCGUCUUCCACAUGAACCUAUUCCACUGUUGACCACACGGUGUCGCUCUGAUUCCCGCCACUGUCAGGCAAACCCGCAGCUGCCGGUCGCCGACCUGCUCGAGACGAGACGUUCACCGUGUUAGCCGUCUGUCGUAGCAUGAACAUUUUUAACACAUUUUUUAAAGUAACCUUUCCUGCCUCAUAUUUUCACCGGGGACUCUGGAAUCGGUUGUGAAAAAGGCCAUAAUCGCUGAGGACCCCUGCACCUUCCAUGCCUCUUCAAGAAGUUUGGAGCUCUGAAGUUCACAACUAUGUUUGCCAGGAUAAAAAGACUAAUGUGUGAGAAGACCUACUGAAAGAACUGAUCUGCAGUCCAUCCUUCAGCUUACUUUCCUCCUACCUGGUAUUUGGCCUGGUACCAGCCUUCUGACUAAUGUUCCCGCUGACCAGGAACGACAUGAGGAGGAGCGUGGACGUGCUCACAGAGGAGACCAGACGAGUGGGCCGCUACCCUGCUCACCAGGCAAGAAACUCUCUGUAAGGGCUGCUGAGAAUUACAUAUGGUUUCAUAUGGUUUUAGCCCCUGCAUGAAAAAAAGCACUGCAAUACUCUGUCUGUCUGUGUGUGUGUGUGUGUGUGUGUGUGUGUACAUAUAAAUGUCUUGGUUUUAUGUAACUUCUACAACCGUAGCUAAUUUGUCGUGUUUUCGGUGUCCACCACCGGCCC